AGUAUCUUACUCUCUUUCCACCCACACGUGUGUGUGGCAUCUGGUGUCCGGACCUAUGCCACGUUGCCAUUUUUUUCACCUCCCAGGGUAGUAGUUGUGCUUUUAUUACUUCUUGAUAAAGCAAAUGUGUCAUGACGAAAAGGUGCGUGAAUUUGGGAAUGCUUCUAAAUGAGUUUAUAUUUUAUGGCUCAGCAGCCUCUUGUGCCAUUUGGAAGCUGGCUGUGCUCUGCAAGACAAGAGACUGCUCUGGAUAUGAGGCUUGGGCUGCAUGUAGAGUUUUGGAAGAGGCCAGAUGUGGGGAGCCACGAUGAGCCCCACUCCGCCAGGACCAUUCCUAGGCUUCAAGGACAACAAGUGGGGUCCCAGUUGAGUGGCCUUUGUCCCUGUCUGAUUUCCCUCCUCUUGCCUUCUUAUCUUCUGGCUCUCAGCCACUCGGCCAUUGCCUUGCCCAGUUAGUACCUGGGCUAGGAGAGUCAGAAAGGACAGAUAUGUGGCAGCCUGCCUGCCUUCAUUACACUUUCUUGGGGCACUGUUGUGAAACUCCUCUCUAAAGACAUUUAGAGGAUUCUCAGGGGAUGUCACUGAUCUGUAACUGAUCUGAGGCUCCUUGGAUGAUCAAAGGUGGAUUUGUGGAGUCUCCUGGGGUCCCCCUAGUAAUGGACUUUCAGGAGCUCCCUGAUGAGCUCAUCCCAGCACCCCAAAGAGCAGGUAAGCACGAAUCAAGCUUGCACAUACUAGGUAUUCACCGAGUAUCCAGUGUUGAUGAACAGUGGUGGUGAGGGCCUUUGGACAGGAGUGUGGCAGCUGUAGUCCUGCAGGAGACAACUGACAGAUGCUGAGGGCCUGGGUGGUGGUAGUCUGAGUCACCAAGGACCACCCCAGAGAUGAGGUUGAUUGCUGGGACCAGGGCAGAGGCCCAGUUGGCUCCUCAGGACUAAGAGGUGUGUCCUGGAAUCAGAAGGAGGACAGGGGCCAGGGAAGCUGGCCUUGUCAUUGGGAUGGGGUCAUAGCCUAGGAUGACCUCAGCCCCUGCCAUGCUGCUCAGCGCCCCUCUCUGAGCUGGUGCGUCCAAUGGUAGGCUGGUUGGAACUGGCACAGACCUCCCAGCUCCCUACCAGCCAGCCUAGCUGCGUUUUUUCUUUGGCUAACAGCCCAUCAGAUUCCAAGGUGCUGGCCAUACUGACAUGUCCCUCUUCAUCCUGCCCCUUCCUCUCUGGAGGGUGGGGUUAUUGCAUUUGGCUGAGCCCUGCUUCAGAAAAUCACAGGGAAUUUCUGGUCCUUUUGUGUGGGUUUGUGGACCUUAAAGGAAGUAAAACCUGGGUCUUGGUUUUCCUUCUCCUUCCAGUCCCUCUGCUGAGGGUUCUCUCUGGAGUGUUGGACGUCAGCAGCCCACUGUCUUUAGCCACAGUAUCCCGAGGGGUGUGGAUCUAGAUAACUGUGGGGCCUCAGCAAAGCUUUCACCUGCCUCCUGCUCCCUUUCUGUUGGGACUUUGGGAGUGGCAUUUGGGAGUGGGGAUAGGUGUGAAAAGACUGUCUUCUUUGAUUUAUUAGGCCAGAGAGUUGUUUGGCAGAAACCUAUCUUGUCCCCCAGGAACAGGAAGAAUGGUUGUGUGUUAGGUACCGGGGCCUCAGGAGACCCGAGGUCUUGUCCUAGUGCUGCCUGUGGCCACUUUGUGAUGCUGGAUAAGUCACACCUGAAACCACCUAUAAACCGAGAAAUUGGAUGGUAGGAUGGUGGUGGGGCUCUGUUCUAAAGGCUGUACUUGGAUUAUCACAUGCAGAUGAUCUCUGGGGUCUGCGGUGAUGCCAACAUUCUGUGUUUCUGCCCUCUUGGACACUCAGCAGAGUUAAGCACUUCUUUUUUUAAAAACAAAAUUAGUUACUUUUUUAUUUUUUGAGACAGGGUCUCGCUCUGUCACCCAGGCUGGAGUGCAGUGGCAUGAUCUCAGCUUACUGCAGCUUCUACCUCCUGGGCUCAAUUGAGUCUCCCACCUCAGUUUCCCAAGUAGGUGGGCCCACAGGAGUGUGUCGUCAUGCCCAGAUAAUUUUAUUUUUUUUGUAGGGACAGGGUCUUGCUGUGUUACCCAGGCUGGUCUCAAACUCCUGGGCUUAAACGAUCUCCUGCCUCGGCCUCCCAAAGUGCUGGGAUUACAGGCAUGAACCACCAUACUCAUCCGAGUCAGGCACUUCUAAAGGUGACCUUGCAGUUGACUCCUGGGCUUUGUAGCCUGGCCCUGAAGUUAACUAUUCGGCGAACACAGCUUCUUUAGGAGCCCUCUGUGUCUUCAGCUUUGAGGAGUUUGUUCUCACCCUCUAGGGAGGAUGCAAGUGGGGCCAGGUGAAUGUGCUUCCUUUAUAGACAGACCCAGAAGCCAGUGCUCUUGUGUGUCCUGGGCUCUGCAUUCACUCUGGCUCUGGAAAUACCUGCUUAGGGUGUGGUCCUGAGUGGGAGGCCAGGUGCCUGGGGAGGGGAGAAUCAGGGAGGCACUCUCCCUUGUUUGGUGUUGGUGAAGGGUAACUUAGCUCUGCCUUCUAGUCUGGGUGCUCCAGGUGUGUCUGGGGGUGGGGAUGCUGGAGGUGGCUCAGGAGAAUUGCAAGGUGGACUGAUCAUAAUUGGUCCUUUGUGUAGACUUGGCUGACCCACAGGCCUGGUGUGAGGAGGCUGCUUGCCUGUGGGCUCAGUGGGUCUGAAACACUGGCUGGAGCCAGGGAGCAAGGCUUUCAGCCUGGAAUCUGCCCAAGGGACUGGUGUCAAUAGGUGGCCUUGUCUUUCACUUGUUUAUUUGCAGAGCCCAGCUCUGGCCCUUCUCUCCUUUGCAGCAGUUUGAAGAAAUCAAUAGAAUGCCCAAGCCAGAAGGGACCUGCACUGUCACCUACCCCUCUUCUCCCUCAGAUAAAGGGAUGAGGUCCAUAGUGGUGAUCUGAUUUGUCCAAGGACAGUCUGCCAUGAGUUCAUUCCUUGUGGGGCUAGAUUUGGUAAGGAUUCUUUAUUCUGGGUACACGUAAGCCAUCUUCUGAAGUUAUCCUUGCAGGUGGGCUCCAGAACACCUGCAGAUAGAUGCACAUGGGGCGGGCCUCUGUAUUCUGAAGGCAGAUGAAGCUGCUGGGGUUCUGGCUAGUGUGUGGGUGGUCAAUUUCAGAUGAAUUUCACACAUGCAGGCAGCUGCACCCUGCCAAGUUGGAGGUAGUGAUCCACAUGCGGGCCCUUACACUCUGAUGUUCCUGGGACUGGCUCUUGCGUUUGCAGUUGAGGAGGGAAUGGAGAGAUGAGCCUGCAGGAGAGAGGCAGCCUGGUGGCGGCGGUGAUCUUGGUGUUAACAGCCAGCACUUAUUACCGCAUGUCCAGCACUGUGCUAAGUCCAUUACGUGCAUUAUACCAAGGAAUCAUCAUAGCCGCCCUAUGAGGAAAAGGUACUGUGACAUUUUUAGUCCCACUUUACAGAAGGAACUGAGGCUUAGAGAGAUUAAAUAUUUUCUCCCAACUCACAGCUUUUAGUGGGGCAGUUGGGCUUUGAUUUCAGGGCUGCCUGGCCAGAGUCCACACUGCUAACCCCUGUCCUAGUUGCUUCCUCUCUGCUAGCUCAUUCCUUCUGGUAGCAAGCACCAGCUGUCAGCCCUGACUGGAGAAGGGAGGCCCCUCAUGAGAGAUGGAGCUGAGUCUCCACCCUCCCGGGCCCCAUACACUUCUCUCCUGACCCGUACAUUCCUGUGCACCAGGGAAGUGGCCCCUCUCUGGUCGUGGAGACUGAAGUCCCCGUGCUGUGUUGAGCAGUGGAGGUGGGGGUGGCUCAGGUAGAAUGGAGGGUACUUGACUCCUGUUUUUUGAGGGAAAGUUGCCUUUAAGUUGGAGGGAUGCUGUUGGCUUCCUGCAGCUGCUUGCUGCCUUUUGAUGACGCCCCUGUGCAUGGGGGCCUUCAAGUGUAGGUGGAAUAGGCAGGGUUGGAAAGGCUCUUUUCUCCCCACAGUCCAGGAGAGGCAGUGCUGGAGCCCCUUAUUUGCUGUUCAUCCUUUGAUGGGUCAGCAUAACCUUUAUGUUACAAAUGCCAAUAGAUAUUUAAUUCCUGGGGUGGCAUAAGGUAGCAAGCAAUUUAGAAUUUAAUAAAAUUACAAAUUCUUGGGGAGAUGAUUCUGAUUUCUCUCUUUAUCCAUGAUGCAUGCUAGUUGCAUGAAUAAAUGAAUGAAUUUUUUUAAAACUUAUGGAAAAUUCACACACAGGAGUAGAGAGAAUAGUAUAGUGAUUUCCCAUAUACCCAUUACUCAGCUUCAGCAAUUAGCAACAGAAUUGCCUGUAAUAUUUAAUCAUCUGGGCUAUUUUAUUGGCACUGAGAUUAGUGUGCUAGUGUGAACUGCUAGGAACUUCUCAAGUGAGAAAGGACAAGCGGAGAAGAAAUGAUAUCAUAGUAUGAAUAAAAACUCAUCUUUGUGGUGCUGCCAUGCUAGGCAAGUUGCAGGUGCUCACCGGAGGGUUUGAACUAACUGCUCUGGAUAACUGGCCAGGUGGUGUUGGGUUCCAGCCCCAGGUGGGAGGAAAGUUUCUGAAGGGUGAGUUCAGCUGGAUACGUGAGAUUCUCAAACACACACUGGGGCAGAAGGCACUGCAGCCAGCCCUAGUUCAUCUACUCAACUCAUGUUUACUGUGGAUCAUCUUU
Homo sapiens (human) is the source of this 4649-nucleotide long non-coding RNA. RefSeq lists it as uncharacterized. The record is from RefSeq and is a predicted model, not a curated record. NCBI's taxonomy places the organism in Eukaryota, Metazoa, Chordata, Mammalia, Primates, Hominidae. The transcript has 2 exons.